Molecule: ribosomal RNA, 540 nt
Filed under: uncultured bacterium
Lineage: Bacteria
Description: bacterial SSU rRNA
Rfam family: Bacterial small subunit ribosomal RNA
Source: RNAcentral
CCUUACCAGGUCUUGACAUCCCUUGCUAAUCCUAGAAAUAGGACGUUCCCUUCGGGGACAAGGUGACAGGUGGUGCAUGGUUGUCGUCAGCUCGUGUCGUGAGAUGUUGGGUUAGGUCCCGCAACGAGCGCAACCCUUAUUAUUAGUUGCCAGCAUUCAGUUGGGCACUCUAGUGAGACUGCCGGUGACAAACCGGAGGAAGGUGGGGAUGACGUCAAAUCAUCAUGCCCCUUAUGACCUGGGCUACACACGUGCUACAAUGGCAUAUACAACGAGUCGCCAACCCGCGAGGGUGCGCUAAUCUCUUAAAGUAUGUCUCAGUUCGGAUUGUAGGCUGCAACUCGCCUACAUGAAGUCGGAAUCGCUAGUAAUCGCGGAUCAGCACGCCGCGGUGAAUACGUUCCCGGGUCUUGUACACACCGCCCGUCACACCAUGAGAGUUUGUAACACCCAAAGCCGGUGGGGUAACCUUUUAGGAGCCAGCCGUCUAAGGUGGGACAGAUGAUUAGGGUGAAGUCGUAACAAGGUAAGCGUAGACGU